Bos taurus (domestic cattle) is the source of this 57-nucleotide non-coding RNA. The record is from Rfam. Lineage: Eukaryota; Metazoa; Chordata; Mammalia; Artiodactyla; Bovidae.
UGGCUCAGAUGGUAAAGCAUCUGUCUGCAGUGCAGGAGACCCAGGUUCAAUCCCUGG